UUUAAAAGCAGUUUUUGGAAAAUAUUAACCUUGGAAGUUAUUGGAUGACGAAAUAGUCACUUUUAAAG
This 68-nucleotide transfer RNA is filed under the name Mexistrophia reticulata. RNAcentral's name for it is "tRNA-Pro". Lineage: Eukaryota; Metazoa; Mollusca; Gastropoda; Stylommatophora; Cerionidae. The record is from RNAcentral.